Long non-coding RNA from Nicotiana tabacum (common tobacco), 1967 nucleotides. RefSeq lists it as uncharacterized. Lineage: Eukaryota; Viridiplantae; Streptophyta; Magnoliopsida; Solanales; Solanaceae. The record is from RefSeq and is a predicted model, not a curated record.
UAUUGUCCAUUGUGGUAGCUACUAUUUCCUUUCCCUUAUAGGUGUUAUACUUCAGACUCCAGUUUAAUAUCCCAAAGCAUUAAGAAGUUGUUUGGUUUGAUGUAUUAGCUCAAAUAGUCAUGGUAUAAAAACUUGUAUUGUUAUCUAUGGGCAGGUUAUUUACUCUUCAAUCCAUAAACCGAAUAUGAAUUGGUCUUCAAACUUCUUGCUUUUGCCUUUAUCUGGUGUUUACUUGAUUGUUUAUUCUACAAUAUAUACAGUCUUCCUCGCUUCCAGAAUGGAGUGAAGGUCCAUUUUAUUUUGUUUGCUAUUGAGCUGCCAUAUUACACAAGUGUUCCAACUCUAUUAUAUAUUUGUGAAGUAAGUUUAAUCUCUUUAAGAAAUCAUCAGAAAUUUUUGUUCUUUCUGAUUGAUGAGAUGAUUAAGUAACAAUUAGCCUGAUCAAUAUUUAAUUGAGAAGCUGUAGAAUUAUGCAGCCUCCUCACUCCAUCACCCGUUUCCUGGAAGAAAGUAAUGGAAUAGAAAACACCUGCAGAUCUCCAGAGGAAAAUAAAAUAUUGGACUAUCUUUGAAUAGUACACCGACCUUGAGAUAAGGUAUAACUAAAACUGCCUGGUCGCUUGACCCUCCUAAUGAUGUGUGGCAGCUGAAAUAAAAAGAAAAAACUCAUCUACUGUGUCUUUUCUGUACUUCUCUCUCUCUCUCCUUUCUACUUUUUUAUCUUAGGAGAUAUUGAAAAACUAGCAUUCAGAGGGUCUUUUUCUUUGUGCUAUUAUUGAUGCAGGUCACAUUGAAAACCUUAUUUUCUUGUUUUGCAUGAUGUUUCUGGAGAUGUCUGCCAACAAUUAAAUCCUAUAUUUUUCUUCCACUGAUUCUCUUGGCCUGGAUAGCUGGUGUUGCCUAAUCUUUUUGUUGAUUGCCUACAGAAUUUCUCUCGUUAUUUCAACAGACAAGUUUCCUUGUGCUGGCAUUCUUCUCUUUCUCGAUUUCUCAACCUCUCGUAUCACUUAUGAGCUUGAGGAAGAAGGAUCAUAAGGAGUACACAGCAAUGAGUUAGGCAUCAGGCAUACAUGAUAGCGGGAGAGGGAACUGGCGAGCAUUUUAGAUCCCAACCAACCUUUUGAUAAGCUCCUGCUGAACUGAAGGUUCCGGCAGUCCUUCAUGACAUCUGAGGACAGUGAACAGGAAGAGUAGGGAGCCUAAAAUCCAUAUACCAAUAGAUUGAACAGAAGAGACAUGUAGGAAGGUUACGGGUUCGAGCUGUGGAAACAACCUCUUGCAGAUAAGGCUGUGUAAUAUUAGACCCUUGUGGUCGGGCCCCCUCUGGACUUCGCGCAUAGUAGGAGCUUAAUGCACCGGGCUGCCCUUUUAUGCUCUAGCGGCCAGAUUCUCCCGUUCCUAAUGAUACGAGCUAGCGUUCCGGACAAAAUUUUGCUGUGCAGAUUAUAACAUCCAAGAUCAAUCAUGCACCCAAGCGUGUGGCCUAGUGAUCAUGAAGUUGGUGAAAACCAUGAGAGACCAGCGUCCAGCAGAGAUAAUGCUCGGAGGUUUCUGACAAAUUGCCUUAUAGAGAUGUUGCAUGUUGGAAUAGUGAUUCAAGCUGUUAUCAAUGUGGGAGCUUGCCUAAAGUACUUGUGCUGAUGGGAGAUUAGGAAGUAGCAAGUACCUGUGGAAUUAGUCGAGACACGCACAAGCUGGCCCGGACAUUACAGUUACAGUUAUAUUAUAUAAUAAAAUAACUGUAGUAAAAUAUAUUAAAUUAUUGGGUUGAAAGAAUGAUCUUUGUUCUUAACCUUGAUUUCCACCUUUCUUCUGAUUCCGUGAUUUUAUGUUCACUGUUCCUGGAGUUCUCUUGUCGAAUAAAUUCUGAUGCUUUCUUUGGGAAGUCCAUAUAAAUUUUGCUUGCCGCCUCUAGUACAUGUUACAAUCCUAUUUUCUCUUUUGAUAGGAGGUGACAAAUACGACGA